CAGUAGCCACGGUAAUACAGAGGAUGCAAGCGUUAUCCGGAAUGAUUGGGCGUAAAGCGUCUGUAGGUGGCUUUUCAAGUCUGCCGUCAAAUCCCCGGGCUCAACCCUGGACAGGCAGUGGAAACUACCAAGCUGGAGUAUGGUAGGGGGGCCUGGAACUUCCGGUGGAGCAGUGAAAUGCGUUGAGAUCGGAAGGAACGCCCGUGGCGAAAGCGAGGCCCUGGACCCUUACUGACGCUGAGACGCGAAAGCCAGGGGAGCGAACGGGAUUAGAUACCCGAGUAGUCCCUGUCUCUUAUAA
RNAcentral lists this ribosomal RNA (301 nucleotides) under uncultured bacterium. RNAcentral describes it as "partial 16S ribosomal RNA". It matches the Rfam family "Bacterial small subunit ribosomal RNA", at positions 509 to 809 of the family's 1533-position model. The record is from RNAcentral.